AUUGAACGCUGGCGGAAUGCUUUACACAUGCAAGUCGAGCGGCAGCGCGGGGCAACCUGGCGGCGAGCGGCGAACGGGUGAGUAAUACAUCGGAACGUACCCAGUUGUGGGGGAUAGCCCGGCGAAAGCCGGAUUAAUACCGCAUACGACCUGAGGGUGAAAGGGGGGGAUCGCAAGACCUCUCGCAGUUGGAGCGGCCGAUGGCGGAUUAGCUAGUUGGUGGGAUAAAGGCCCACCAAGGCGACGAUCCGUAGCGGGUCUGAGAGGACGACCCGCCACACUGGAACUGAGACACGGUCCAGACUCCUACGGGAGGCAGCAGUGGGGAAUUUUGGACAAUGGGGGCAACCCUGAUCCAGCCAUUCCGCGUGAGUGAAGAAGGCCUUCGGGUUGUAAAGCUCUUUCGGCAGGAACGAAACGGUGGGUCUUAAUACGAUCUGCUAAUGACGGUACCUGAAGAAGAAGCACCGGCUAACUACGUGCCAGCCGCCGCCGUAA
This 498-nucleotide ribosomal RNA is filed under the name uncultured bacterium. RNAcentral's name for it is "partial 16S ribosomal RNA". It matches the Rfam family "Bacterial small subunit ribosomal RNA", at positions 29 to 523 of the family's 1533-position model. The record is from RNAcentral.